GGAAUAACACACAGAAAACUUGGAAAACUGAACAAAAUGCGUGAACACUCUACAUUGUCAUAUUCAUCAAACUGAGGUCC
RNAcentral lists this small nucleolar RNA (80 nucleotides) under Spermophilus dauricus (Daurian ground squirrel). RNAcentral describes it as "Small nucleolar RNA SNORD116 (ENSSDAG00000008669.1)". It matches the Rfam family "Small nucleolar RNA SNORD116", at positions 11 to 92 of the family's 92-position model. Rfam says of the family: HBII-85 is a member of the C/D class of snoRNAs, which contain the C (UGAUGA) and D (CUGA) box motifs. HBII-85 is encoded in a tandemly repeated array with another C/D snoRNA, HBII-52, in the Prader-Willi syndrome (PWS) region of chromosome 15. Lineage: Eukaryota; Metazoa; Chordata; Mammalia; Rodentia; Sciuridae. The record is from Rfam by way of RNAcentral.